Molecule: long non-coding RNA, 1406 nt
Organism: Gopherus flavomarginatus (Mexican gopher tortoise)
Lineage: Eukaryota; Metazoa; Chordata; Testudines; Testudinidae
Exons: 2
Source: RefSeq, a predicted model, not a curated record
GGCCGGAGCAGGAAAUGGGAAAUGGCUAAGUAGGGAGGAGCUAUUCCCCAGAGCAGACGGACGGUGACUCAGCACUGGGACUCAGGCCCAUGCACGAAAGGAAAGAGCUCAGAGUUUUACCCCCUGGGCAGCACGGAUGGCUCUGGAGCGAGCCACACGCCUCUGCGGGGCUCUUGGAGAGGAAAGUUCUAGCAGUAGACAACAUCAGCACCUUGCACUGCAGGGCUGGGUGCUCAGACGCCCGCUGCAUUCAGGCUGGGGCAACAGGCUGCCUGGAGCCGGGACAGUGCGCGUGGUGCUCAGAGCUGGAGAUGCAGAGAUCAAGACAGCUGGGAUAUCUUUGCAUUUACAUGGACGGAUCCGGAGACCGGGAGGGUAGAACAGCUGACCUGGACUCGGCUACCACAAGGAUUUGUGUUGCCAGCUAUUAUAAAACUAUUAGCUGUUAGGGGGUCGCUGCUGACUGUCACACCAUGACAACUUACUUUGUUUACGAGCUUUGGUGACGGACCUCGUCAAAGUCUUUCUCAAAGUCCAAGUACAAUCUAUCCACUGGAUCCCCCUUGUCCACAUGCUUGUUGACCUUCUUAAAGAAUUCUAGUAGAUGGGUGAGGCAUGAUUUCCCUUUACAAAAACCAUGUUGACUCUUCCCUAACAAAUCGUGUUCAUCACUGUGUCUGAUCAUUCCGUUCUUUACUGUAGUUUCAACCAAUCUGCCUACCACUCAAGUUGCUGGGAUUGCCACUGGAGCCUUUUUUUAAAAAUUGGCAUCACAUUAACUAUGCUCCAGUCAUCUGGUACAGAAGCUGAUUUAAAUGAUGGGUUACGUACCACAGUUAGCAUUUCUGUAACUUCACACUUGAGUUCCUUCAGAACUCUUGGGUGAUACCAUCUGGUCCUAGUUACUUAUUACUGUUUAGUUUAUCAACUUGUUCCCAAAACUCCUCUAAUGACACCUCGAUCUGGGACCGUUCCUCAGAUUUGUCACCUAAAAGAAUGGCCCAAGUGUGGGAACCUCCCUGUGAGGCAGUGGGAAUGUUCUAGCUGUGUUAUGUGAGUGCUGAGUGGGGAGUAUUGACCUGGGAAGGCUGCAGGGGAGUUGUGAUGAGACUGUCUGCCUGGGGGAAGGGAGCACACCUGAGCAUGUAGCCUGAGAACCCAGGAGGGGGGUUGAAGGCCAGGUGACACCUCUGACGCUGAACAAAGGAAAAAGGCUGGGGGAGUUUUCAGUUUGAAGGUGGCUGGGAAAUGGAGAGGGGCCCCGACGGGGCUUGGGCUUUCCAAAGGGGCUGUGGCCUCCCUGGGGGCCCCAGAUGAACCUAACUAAAGGGGUCCUGUUGUCUGUGCCUGCAAGACCAGUCCUGGACUGUGCUCCUGUCGUCUAAAUAAACCUCUGUGUUACUAGC